CCUACGGGUGGCUGCAGUGGGGAAUAUUGGACAAUGGGCGAAAGCCUGAUCCAGCCAUGCCGCGUGUGUGAAGAAGGCCUUCGGGUUGUAAAGCACUUUCAGUGGGGAAGAAAGCCUUGGGGCUAAUACCCUCGAGGAAGGACAUCACCCACAGAAGAAGCACCGGCUAACUCCGUGCCAGCAGCCGCGGUAAUACGGAGGGUGCGAGCGUUAAUCGGAAUUACUGGGCGUAAAGCGCGCGUAGGCGGUCUGAUAAGCCGGUUGUGAAAGCCCCGGGCUCAACCUGGGAACGGCAUCCGGAACUGUCAGGCUAGAGUGCAGGAGAGGAAGGUAGAAUUCCCGGUGUAGCGGUGAAAUGCGUAGAGAUCGGGAGGAAUACCAGUGGCGAAGGCGGCCUUCUGGACUGACACUGACGCUGAGGUGCGAAAGCGUGGGUAGCAAACAGGAUUAGAUACCCCAGAGUC
Molecule: ribosomal RNA, 464 nt
Filed under: Vreelandella stevensii
Lineage: Bacteria; Pseudomonadati; Pseudomonadota; Gammaproteobacteria; Oceanospirillales; Halomonadaceae
Description: partial 16S ribosomal RNA
Rfam family: Bacterial small subunit ribosomal RNA
Source: RNAcentral